Molecule: long non-coding RNA, 944 nt
Filed under: Phasianus colchicus (ring-necked pheasant)
Lineage: Eukaryota; Metazoa; Chordata; Aves; Galliformes; Phasianidae
Description: lncRNA (ENSPCLG00000007218.1)
Source: RNAcentral
CGCUCCUCCGGGCCUCCCUGUGCCCCUCUUCCGGGCGCCUCUCUCUCUCUCCUCCUCUCACUUUCUUUAAGCUAAGCGGGGAGUGGAAGAUGGUAGGUUGCUCCCUUCUCCUCCUCCUCCUCUUCGCUCGCUCUCGCCUCCGUGGGGUCCUGUUCCUUCCCCCUGUCCGCGGGGGGCUCCUCCUGCGGCGGGGAGGAGGGGGCGGGCGGGGCGGGAGGCACGGAGCCGGCGAGGCGCAGGAGGAGAGAAACUGUGACACAAAAACAAGCCGCGAAGCUGAACUCUUCUUCAAUCCCAUUCACCCGGCCCGGCCGCAGCACCGCGCCGACGGAUCCCUCCGCCGACGGCCUCCCUGCCUGCCUGACGCGCGCUCCCGACGCGCCGCCGAGCGCGCCCCCGCCCGCCCCCACCCCGCGGCCGGGGGGGUCCGGCCCGCCGCUCUCGCGGCCCCCCCGCCGCUCCCGGAGCGCCCCCGCCGCCCCCUCGCCGCCAUGCCGGCGGGGGCGGCCGCGCCGCCUCCUCCCGGGGGGGACUACUUGACGCGUCGGUGCGGCGAAUUUAUUUCCCUUUGCCUAAGGAACGGGCUGUGCUGCGGCACCCAUUGCCUAGGGAAAAAGCCCGGAUGUGAAGCUCACAAUGACAAAGAGGAGCAGUCCCAGCCUCUGCACUACUUCUGGCUUCAUUUCCACAUCAGCAAAAAGGACUUCCCCAGCCCAUUUUACAGUGCUAUUUGCUGAGAACACUUAAAGAAUGUCUUCUUGGAUUUUGCUCUAUCAUGCAGAAACAUUUUCAUGGCAAGCAGCAAGUGUGAAAGCUCCUAACCUCCACAUCAAAGAUGGAGCCAACAGAGCUGGGUAGCCACACGGUGCUUUCCCUUUCCACUGUUUCCAGCAUCAAACUACCUCAAAAAUAAACUAAAAGUUAGUUUCUUACCUAUUACUGUU